GGGUUGUUGCUGGUUCUCUAGGGAGCAUGUGCACGCUUGUCAUCUUUAUAUCUCCACCUGUGCACCUUUUGUAGACCUUGAUAUCUUUCUGAAUGUGAAUUCAGGUUUUGAGGAUUGAUAAUUCUUUCCUUACAUUUCUAGGCCUAUGUUUUUUUAUAUAACACCCCAAAUCUAUGUUAUAGAAUGUAAUAAAUGGGCCUUUGUGCCUAUAAAAUUUAUACAACUUUCAGCAACGGAUCUCUUGGCUCUCGCAUCGAUGAAGAACGCAGCGAAAUGCGAUAAGUAAUGUGAAUUGCAGAAUUCAGUGAAUCAUCGAAUCUUUGAACGCACCUUGCGCUCCUUGGUAUUCCGAGGAGCAUGCCUGUUUGAGUGUCAUUAAUAUUAUCAACCUUCCUCAGGUUUGGAUGUGAGGGUUUGCUGGUCUCUUUCUGAUAUCAGCUCCCUUGAAAUGCAUUAGCCGAACAAUUUUGUUGACUGUUCAUUGGUGUGAUAAGAAACUAUCUACGCUAUUGACAGUAAAAGCAAGUUCAGCUUCUAAUAGUCCUU
Molecule: unclassified non-coding RNA, 546 nt
Filed under: uncultured fungus
Lineage: Eukaryota; Fungi
Description: partial contains ITS1, 5.8S rRNA and ITS2
Rfam family: 5.8S ribosomal RNA (bases 222-375)
Source: RNAcentral